This 253-nucleotide ribosomal RNA is filed under the name uncultured bacterium. Its description in RNAcentral is "partial 16S ribosomal RNA". It matches the Rfam family "Bacterial small subunit ribosomal RNA", at positions 524 to 776 of the family's 1533-position model. The record is from RNAcentral.
UACGAAGGGGGCUAGCGUUGUUCGGAAUUACUGGGCGUAAAGCGCGCGCAGGCGGUCUUCCAAGUCAGUGGUGAAAGCCCGGAGCUCAACUCCGGAACUGCCAUUGAAACUGUUAGACUUGAGGAUGAGAGAGGUGAGUGGAAUUCCCAGUGUAGAGGUGAAAUUCGUAGAUAUUCGGAAGAACACCAGUGGCGAAGGCGGCUCACUGGUCCGGUACUGACGCUGAGGAGCGAAAGCGUGGGGAGCGAACAGG